AAGAGCGCUUUUGUUAGCCCAAAACCAAUCCGGGUUCGCCCGUCAAACGGCGGCCNGGCCCAACGUGGUGACUCCGAACAACUUUGUGCCGAUCGCAUGGCCCUAGCGGCGGCGACGCAUCUUUCAAGUGUCUGCCCUAUCAACUUUCGAUGGUACGUGCUAUGCCUACCAUGGUGAUAACGGGUAACGGGGAAUCAGGGUUCGGUUCCGGAGAGGGAGCAUGAGAUACGGCUACCACAUCCAAGGAAGGCAGCAGGCGCGCAAAUUACCCACUCCGACACGGGGAGGUAGUGACGAAAAAUAACAAUACGGGACUCUUUCGAGGCCUCGUAAUUGGAAUGAGUACACUUUAAAUCCUUU
RNAcentral lists this ribosomal RNA (360 nucleotides) under Spisula solidissima (Atlantic surf clam). Its description in RNAcentral is "SSU rRNA". It matches the Rfam family "Eukaryotic small subunit ribosomal RNA", at positions 197 to 535 of the family's 1831-position model. Lineage: Eukaryota; Metazoa; Mollusca; Bivalvia; Venerida; Mactridae. The record is from RNAcentral.